Molecule: ribosomal RNA, 253 nt
Filed under: uncultured bacterium
Lineage: Bacteria
Description: partial 16S ribosomal RNA
Rfam family: Bacterial small subunit ribosomal RNA
Source: RNAcentral
UACGUAGGGGGCAAGCGUUAUCCGGAUUUACUGGGCGUAAAGCGCGUUAAGGCGGCCGGCUAAGUUGGUGGUGAAAUUCCAGGGCUCAACCCUGGAACUGCCUCCAAUACUGGUCGGCUCGAGUGCGAGAGAGGAAGGUGGAAUUCCCGGUGUAGUAGUGAAAUGCGUAGAUAUCGGGAGGAACACCAGUGGCGAAGGCGGCCUUCUGGACCAGUACUGACGCUCAUGCACGAAAGCGUGGGGAGCAAACAGG